Molecule: ribosomal RNA, 253 nt
Filed under: uncultured bacterium
Lineage: Bacteria
Description: partial 16S ribosomal RNA
Rfam family: Bacterial small subunit ribosomal RNA
Source: RNAcentral
UACAGAGGUCUCAAGCGUUGUUCGGAUUCAUUGGGCGUAAAGGGUGCGUAGGCGGUGAGGUAAGUUGGAUGUGAAAUCCCGGGGCUCAACCUGGGAAUGGCAAUGGAUACUGGCAGGCUAGAGUGCGGUAGAGGGUAGUGGAAUUCCCGGUGUAGCGGUGAAAUGCGUAGAGAUCGGGAGGAACACCAGUGGCGAAGGCGGCUACCUGGACCAGCACUGACACUGAGGCACGAAAGCGUGGGGAGCAAACAGG